GUCGUAGUCCGGAUUGGAGUCUGCAACUCGACUCCAUGAAGUCGGAAUCGCUAGUAAUCGCAGGUCAGAAUACUGCGGUGAAUACGUUCCCGGGCCUUGUACACACCGCCCGUCACACCAUGGGAGUGGGAUGCAAAAGAAGUAGUUAGUUUAACCUUCGGGAGAACGAUUACCACUUUGUGUUUCAUGACUGGUGUGAAGUCGUAACAGGGUAACCCUAGGGGAACCUGGGGU
Molecule: ribosomal RNA, 234 nt
Filed under: uncultured gamma proteobacterium CHAB-VI-6
Lineage: Bacteria; Pseudomonadati; Pseudomonadota; Gammaproteobacteria
Description: partial 16S ribosomal RNA
Rfam family: Bacterial small subunit ribosomal RNA
Source: RNAcentral